Molecule: ribosomal RNA, 320 nt
Filed under: uncultured bacterium
Lineage: Bacteria
Description: bacterial SSU rRNA
Rfam family: Bacterial small subunit ribosomal RNA
Source: RNAcentral
ACGAACGCUGGCGGCGUGCUUAACACAUGCAAGUCGAGCGGUAAGGCCCUUUCGGGGGUACACGAGCGGCGAACGGGUGAGUAACACGUGGGUGACCUGCCCUCAGCUCUGGGAUAAGCCUGGGAAACCGGGUCUAAUACUGGAUAUGACUCCAUGACGCAUGUUGUGGGGUGGAAAGCCUUGUGCGGCUGAGGAUGGGCCCGCGGCCCAUCAGCUUGUUGGUGGGGNGAUGGCCUACCAAGGCGACGACGGGUAGCCGGCCUGAGAGGGCGACCGGCACACUGGGACUGAGACACGGCCCAGACCCCUACGGGAGGGCA